Molecule: RNase P RNA, 375 nt
Filed under: Rhodocyclaceae bacterium
Lineage: Bacteria; Pseudomonadati; Pseudomonadota; Betaproteobacteria; Rhodocyclales; Rhodocyclaceae
Description: RNase P RNA component class A
Rfam family: Bacterial RNase P class A
About the family: Ribonuclease P (RNase P) is a ubiquitous endoribonuclease, found in archaea, bacteria and eukarya as well as chloroplasts and mitochondria.
Source: RNAcentral
ANNGUUCGCCAGGCAGUCGCUGCGCACCUCGUCGUGCGUGGAGGAAAGUCCGGGCCCCGCAGAGCAGGAUGCCGGCUAACGGCCGGGCGCCGUGAGGCGACGGAAAGUGCCACAGAGAACAGACCGCCGAUGGCCCGUUUCUACGGGAUCAGGCAAGGGUGAAACGGUGGGGUAAGAGCCCACCGCGGUCCGGGUAACCGGACCGGCACGGUAAACCCCAUCCGGAGCAAGGCCGAAUAGGGAAGCAACGGCGUGGCUCGCGCCGCUUCCGGGUUGGCCGCUCGAGCCUGGCGGUGACGUCAGGCCUAGAGGAAUGACUGCCCCAGGCGGUGUUGCCGCCUGCGACAGAACCCGGCUUACUGGCGGGCUUCCACU